AAGAUCAGAGGAUGUUGAGUGAAUCACAGGCUAAUCAUUAAUUGUACCUGCGAGGAUUGUUAUAUGGGUUCCAUACAAUGUACAUCAUGCAUCCAUGUCAUUUUCGGGCAAUUUGGUUGUAAGAAACCCAUAUUUCUGAUAU
Molecule: long non-coding RNA, 142 nt
Organism: Sander lucioperca (pikeperch)
Lineage: Eukaryota; Metazoa; Chordata; Actinopteri; Perciformes; Percidae
Exons: 2
Source: RefSeq, a predicted model, not a curated record